GGGUGAGUAACACGUAGACAACCUGCCGACAGGAUGGGGACAACAUUCCGAAAGGAAUGCUAAUACCGAAUGAAGUGCAGGGGAGGCAUCUCCCCUGCAUGAAAGAUGGCCUCUAUAUAUAAGCUAUCACCUGUCGAUGGGUCUGCGUCUGAUUAGCUGGUAGGUGAGGUAACGGCUCACCUAGGCGACGAUCAGUAGCCGGUCUGAGAGGAUGAACGGCCACAUUGGGACUGAGACACGGCCCAGACUCC
Molecule: ribosomal RNA, 251 nt
Filed under: uncultured Selenomonas sp.
Lineage: Bacteria; Bacillati; Bacillota; Negativicutes; Selenomonadales; Selenomonadaceae
Description: partial 16S ribosomal RNA
Rfam family: Bacterial small subunit ribosomal RNA
Source: RNAcentral